This is a non-coding RNA of Cavia porcellus (domestic guinea pig), 288 nucleotides long. It matches the Rfam family "Metazoan signal recognition particle RNA". From Rfam's summary of the family: The signal recognition particle (SRP) is a universally conserved ribonucleoprotein. It is involved in the co-translational targeting of proteins to membranes. The eukaryotic SRP consists of a 300-nucleotide 7S RNA and six proteins: SRPs 72, 68, 54, 19, 14, and 9. Lineage: Eukaryota; Metazoa; Chordata; Mammalia; Rodentia; Caviidae. The record is from Rfam.
GCCAGGCGUGGUGGCGCACGCCUGUAGUCCCAGCUACUUUGGGAGGCUGAGGUGGAAGGAUCGCUUGAGUCCAGGAGUUCUGGGUUGCAGUGCGGAUGUCCUCACUAAGUUCGGCAUCAAUAUGGUGACCUCCCGGGAACGGGGGACCACCAGGUUGCCUAAGGAGGGGUGAACCGGCCCAGGUCGGAAACGGAGCAGGUCAAAACUCCCGUGCUGAUCAGUAGUGGGAUCGCGCCUGUGAAUAGCCACUGCACUCCAGCCUGGGCAAUAUAGUGAGACCUGUCUCUU